UACGAAGGGUGCAAACGUUGCUCGGAAUCAUUGGGCGUAAAGCGCACGUAGGCGGCUUCGCAAGUCGGAUGUGAAAUCCCUCGGCUCAACCGAGGACGUGCAUCCGAAACUGCGGAGCUUGAGUAUGGAAGAGGGUCGCGGAAUUCCCGGUGUAGAGGUGAAAUGCGUAGAUAUCGGAAGGAACAUCAGUGGCGAAAGCGGCUUCCUGGACCAGCACCGACGUUCAGGCACGAAAGCGUGGGGAGCAAACAGG
Molecule: ribosomal RNA, 253 nt
Filed under: uncultured bacterium
Lineage: Bacteria
Description: partial 16S ribosomal RNA
Rfam family: Bacterial small subunit ribosomal RNA
Source: RNAcentral